GGGGGGGGGGGGGGCCCCUGGAAGGAUAGAUAGCACAUCAAAAUGGUGAUGAACCUAGCCAAAAAAAAAAAACCUAGCUGCUGUUUUUUUGUAUCCUUUAAAGCCUAUAUCCAGGCUUUUAAAUGCCUUUUUUGGUAUUGCCUGAUAAGAAGUCAAAUAAGUUUUGGGGUUAAGAACUGAGAACAUAAACCAAAGAAAACCAAGAAUAAUUAAACUACUGACCGCCAGAGGAGUCUCUCUCCAGCUUCUAGAUAGUAAUUUUACUUUUUUGGCCAAAAGUUUCUUCUUCAGCAGAGUUCUCAAUUCUGAGUUAAUGUAGCUUCUCUUUGAGCUCUCCUCCCAAAGUCCACCAUCUCAUUUUCUAAGACAAGCUCAAGCUCACCAAAUCAUCACUGUAAAAAAAGCUUCAGGGGAGAGACAUUACUCUCUUAAUUCAAAAGCUUCAUGUCACAGAGACAGCCAAAAUCAUGUGACUGCUAGCCUCAGCUCAAGGAGUAUGCCCAAAUCAACACAAAACAGGAUUCUUUCUCUUUUUAUUAAUUUUUAAGGGGACUAGGAAGACAAACAAUUUGGUCAAGCUGAAGGUGACAGGUAUUGUUUUCUCAAUGCCCCAAUGAGGCUUCUCAAAUUCCUGAAGGUUAUCAAGUAAAGACCGGAGUUUCUGGGACUAAUGCAAAAACAGGGUCAAAAAGUAAAGCAGCCCUUUUAGAGGCAGUGGUGGAAGGCUACUGGCUUCCAAAGGAGAGUCUGCCUAAAAUCUCCAGGAACCCAGGACCUGUAGUGACCUUAAGUCAACCCAAUGCACAGACAACAGUAUCUUUUAUGGAUUGCCGUCAAUGUUCCCCAAUUUACAACUUUUUUUUUACCUUAAAAUCUCAAAUGUCUCACUACUUUAUGUGACAUAUAAAGUGACAAGGAAAACACAGCUCUCCUGGAUGAUGAGGUCUCCAUAGCAAAGCUCACCCCAGAGCACAGAGGCUAACUCUAUGCAUAGUGCUCUCCCACCCACUCCAAGUGUGGGUGCCCAGAUGGAGGCAAGGCUGAGCCACUAACAUGGGCAACUCCACAGUCUGGAAGCCUCCCACAAUCUUGAGGAAACAGGCUCCAUCCAACAGGGCUCAGAAGAAAUGACUGCCACCUCAACCGGGCAGCGGGAACUGCAGAGCUUCGGGUCUGACCUCUUUUGCAGUCUUUAAAAUAUGAACUAGAAGAGCCAUCCAUUAUUUAAUCACUAUUAAAUAAUCUCCUCCUUCCCCAUAGCUGCUUGAGUUAAUUGUCCUGCACAUCUCCAAUUUUUGGUAAAGAUGUGGAUUAUUUUCUGAAAUGCAGAUGGGACCGGGAUUAAGGUAUAUUAUUAAUUACAACCAACUCUCAUUUCUCUUAAAGCAAAAAUUCAUCCCACUGCAGUAUUUCCCUCAAUUCUAAAUCUACUUUUAACUAGGACGGGCUUGGAGAACACUUCAGAAAUAUUAAAAUCACACAUUUGUUGCAAAAAUCACAUUGUGGUUAUUAAAUCUUUUUUGUGAACUAAAAAAGUGAAUUAUGGCUCACGCUAAGCUGUUUUUUAAAAAAAAAAGAUGAAGGGCACUCCAACAAAGGCAUUAGUACAGAACUAGAUGGAAAUGAGAAACAGGUGAAGCAUGACACGUGAAACAAACACCCAGGUUUAACAAAAGAGAUUGCAUCUCUGGUUAAGGAGGCUUGAAAGGAGCCUCCAAUGAGCACUGUAUGUGGAGAAGAGAAAGGGGAAGGAGGAGGAGGAGGAAAGAUUCUACAUAGAACUUUUUUCUUCUUUUAAAAGCCACAAAUGGUGACUUUCUUCUUCUAAGCAAGCCUAAGAGACUUUACACAUCUGACUCCUAACAUCAAAACAGAAAAUAUUUCUUUGCAAUAAAGGAACUUGACCAUGGAACACAUUUACAAAACUACUGCAAAACACUGCCGGAGGGCAGUGACCUACUCUGCUCCCCAGAGGCUAUGAGAAGCAAGGCCUCAAACACCUCACUGUUCCAUGAGACUGCACAGCACAAUGCAGAGGGCGGAAAUCCUGCAGCGACACCACCUUCUAGGCCUUCCGUGGCCUCAGAGGGGGUGAUGCUCCCACACCCUUUGAUCCCUCCAGAUGGCUCAGCCUAGACUCAGCAGUGAAGGAGCCCUCUCCACUCAGGGCAGAUGGGGAGAUGGACACUUAUAAAAACAAAACACAGUCAAUUCAUUAACCAUUCCAUCCUGUUAUGUUUGCUAGGAGAAAAAUCAAGACUCCUGUUUCAAGGCUACUAUCUUUCUGGAAGGCUACAGAAAAUCUAACCUGGUUGACUCCUGGUAGUGCACCUCUCUCUCUCUCUCUCUCUCUCUCACACACACACACACACACACACACACCACGCCAAUGAAGUCCUGAUUCAAAAAGAUGAUUGCAUGACUUCACUGGUGUUUCCCCAAUGUCUGCAAUUUAUAAACUACGAUCAAAUUUUAAUUUAAAAAAAUUCACUGCUAUCUUUUUCUAUCCUGAGUAUGGUGGACUGUGAUGGAUGCUCCAGUAAAAACCAGAAUGUAGGACAUGCAAAUUCACUGUGUGCGAGAGACUAUGGAUCUACCCUAAACAUAGGAACCUCUAACCUGAAUGAGCACUGGUAAGAAUCUAUGGCAAAUAAACGUCAAUGAAAUAUUCUGCAAA
This is a long non-coding RNA of Galeopterus variegatus (Sunda flying lemur), 2677 nucleotides long. RefSeq lists it as uncharacterized. The record is from RefSeq and is a predicted model, not a curated record. Lineage: Eukaryota; Metazoa; Chordata; Mammalia; Dermoptera; Cynocephalidae. The transcript is spliced from 2 exons.